GACGAACGCUGGCGGCGUGCUUAACACAUGCAAGUCGAACGGAAAGGCCCUGCUUGCCGGGUACUCGAGUGGCGAACGGGUGAGUAACACGUGGGUGAUCUGCCCUGCACUUCGGGAUAAGCCUGGGAAACUGGGUCUAAUACCGGAUAGGAGCCAUUUUUAGUGUGAUGGUUGGAAAGUUUUUUCGGUGUAGGAUGAGCUCGCGGCCUAUCAGCUUGUUGGUGGGUAAUGGCCUACCAAGGCGGCGACGGGUAGCCGGCCUGAGAGGGUGGACGGCCACAUUGGGACUGAGAUACGGCCCAGACUCCUACGGGAGGCAGCAGUGGGGAAUAUUGCACAAUGGGCGCAAGCCUGAUGCAGCGACGCCGCGUGGGGGAUGACGGCCUUCGGGUUGUAAACUCCUUUCGCUAGGGACGAAGCUUUUGUGACGGUACCUAGAUAAGAAGCACCGGCUAACUACGUG
RNAcentral lists this ribosomal RNA (463 nucleotides) under uncultured bacterium. RNAcentral describes it as "partial 16S ribosomal RNA". It matches the Rfam family "Bacterial small subunit ribosomal RNA", at positions 28 to 507 of the family's 1533-position model. The record is from RNAcentral.